UGGCUGCUGGGGGCAUUGCCUUUAAGCAAUAGUUGGAAUGUUUGGAGAAUCAAAGUUCAAGAUGUUCCCAGAAGCUUGCUUACUAUCCUUCAGGAUAUUUAUACAAGAAUCCCAGGCAACAGGAGCAAAUAAAUAACAGGAGACCUUUAAAUCCACGUGAGAAGGGUCUUCUCAUCCCUUCUUCAAAGCAUGCUCACAUUUGCUGGCUGUUGAAGAAGUCUGGAUGAUCAUCUUGACAUAUGGCUCCACGCAAAGACAGAGGAGUGAAGAUUCUGAAAAGGGAAAGGCCUGGAAGGGAGAGGAAGAGCAGCGAAAAUGAAGGGAAGAUGUUGAAGGUUCAGUGAGGAAUAUGGAGAAGCUCAGUCAUAUACUGAUUUGUGGCAGAAGCGCAGAAAGGAAAUGUUUAGCUCUGGAAAGCCGUUCCAAAGAGGGAAUGAAAAGCACCAGCAGUAUCAAAUGGAGCCGCCCGCUGCAGGGUUCGGCGGGGAGCGCGGAACGGAGGAGCGCCAACCGGUCCCAGCCGGCUCCGAGCACCGGUGACAACACGUGGCGCGUGGCCCCGCCCAGCAAUAGCGGUCCGGCACGCGGACCCGCCCAGCAGUAACGGUCUGGCACGCGGCGGCAACGGCACGUGGCAGUUGGCCCCGCCCAGCAAUAAGGGUCCGGCACGCGGCCCCGCCCAGCAGUAGC
Dromaius novaehollandiae (emu) is the source of this 690-nucleotide long non-coding RNA. RefSeq lists it as uncharacterized. The transcript is spliced from 5 exons. The record is from RefSeq and is a predicted model, not a curated record. NCBI's taxonomy places the organism in Eukaryota, Metazoa, Chordata, Aves, Casuariiformes, Dromaiidae.